GACGAACGCUGGCGGCGUGCUUAACACAUGCAAGUCGAACGGCAAGGCCCUGCUUUCGUGGGGUGCCGGAGUGGCGAUCGGGUGCGUAACAGGUGAGUAACCUGCCCUAGACUUUGGGAUAACUUCAGGAAACUGGGGCUACUACCGGAUAGGAUCUCCUGCUGCAUGGAGGGCGUUGGAUAGUCUCGGCGGUUGGGGAUGGAUGAGCGGCUUAUGAGUUUGUUGGUGGGGUAGUGGAUUACCGAGGCUUUGGACGGUAGCCGGCUUGGGAGGGGGGCCGGCGACAUGGGGACUAAGGGAGGGCGCAGACGCGUACGGGGGGCAGCAGGGGGGAGUAUGACACAGUGGGAGGGAGCCUGAGGCAGCGACGCCGCGGUCGGGAUGACGGCCUUCGGGGUGUGAACCGCAGUCGGCUGUGACGAAGCGGGAGUGACGGUAAUGGGUAAAGAAGCACCGGCUAACUACGUG
RNAcentral lists this ribosomal RNA (468 nucleotides) under uncultured bacterium. RNAcentral's name for it is "partial 16S ribosomal RNA". It matches the Rfam family "Bacterial small subunit ribosomal RNA", at positions 28 to 507 of the family's 1533-position model. The record is from RNAcentral.